UACGUAGGGGGCCAGCGGUUGUCCGGAAUCAUUGGGCGUAAAGCGGCGCAAUAGGCGGCCAGAUAAGUCCGGUGUGAAAGUCAAAGGGCUACAACCUUUGAAUGCCGCUGGAAACUGAUCUGGCUUGAGUCCGGGAGGGGCGAGUGGAAUUCCUGGUGUAGCGGUGAAAUGCGCAGAUAUACAGGAGGAACACCGAUGGCGAAAGCAC
This 208-nucleotide ribosomal RNA is filed under the name uncultured bacterium. RNAcentral's name for it is "partial 16S ribosomal RNA". It matches the Rfam family "Bacterial small subunit ribosomal RNA", at positions 524 to 725 of the family's 1533-position model. The record is from RNAcentral.